Molecule: ribosomal RNA, 523 nt
Filed under: uncultured bacterium
Lineage: Bacteria
Description: bacterial SSU rRNA
Rfam family: Bacterial small subunit ribosomal RNA
Source: RNAcentral
CAGGACGAACGCUGGCGGCGUGCCUAAUACAUGCAAGUCGAACGGUCUUUCUAUGGAAGCUUGCUUCCACUGAGAAGAUAGUGGCGAACGGGUGAGUAACACGUGGGUAACCCUGCCCAUAAGAGGGGGGAUAACAUCCGGAAACGGGUGCUAAUACCGCAUAGUUUUCUUGAUCGCAUGAUCGGGAAAGGAAAGACGGCCUUUGUGCUGUCGCUUAUGGAUGGACCCGCGGCGUAUUAGUUAGUUGGUGAGGUAACGGCUCACCAAGACGAUGAUACGUAGCCGACCUGAGAGGGUGAUCGGCCACAUUGGGACUGAGACACGGCCCAAACUCCUACGGGAGGCAGCAGUAGGGAAUCUUCCGCAAUGGACGAAAGUCUGACGGAGCAACGCCGCGUGAGUGAAGAAAAGGUUUUCGGAUCGUAAAACUCUGUUGUCAGAGAAGAACAAGUUGGAGAGUAACUGCUCCAGCCUUGACGGUAUCUGACCAGAAAGCCACGGCUAACUACGUGCCAGCCGCUGC